UACGGAGGGUGCAAACGUUGCUCGGAAUCAUUGGGCGUAAAGCGCACGUAGGCGGCCUGUUAAGUCGGAUGUGAAAGCCCUGGGCUCAACCCAGGAAGUGCAUACGAAACUGGCAGGCUUGAAUAUGGAAGAGGGUCGCGGAAUUCCCGGUGUAGAGGUGAAAUUCGUAGAUAUCGGGAGGAACACCAGUGGCGAAGGCGGCGACCUGGGCCAAUAUUGACGCUGAGGUGCGAAAGCGUGGGGAGCGAACAGG
RNAcentral lists this ribosomal RNA (253 nucleotides) under uncultured bacterium. Its description in RNAcentral is "partial 16S ribosomal RNA". It matches the Rfam family "Bacterial small subunit ribosomal RNA", at positions 524 to 776 of the family's 1533-position model. The record is from RNAcentral.